UGGACUUGACCAAUCAAGUAGGUGAGGAUUUUUGGUUCUUCACCUGUGAAGAUCAUGACUGAAGCUUUGGGGCAAACAGAGAGGAAAGCCCCGUUAAUCGGUCAAGGGUGUCUGCUGCUGUCGCUGAAUUCAGAGGUCCAGAUAUUUUCAGCGUGGUUCGCCUAGCUCGAUUGAACAUAGAAUGUCCUGAUUGGAGCCGACUUUACUGGGUUGUCACCUGGAAAGCAUGGUUUGUGUAUCAAUGAAUAUGGUGAUCUGACUAAAGGUGCAGCUAGCAGGGGAAAAGUGUAUUAUCCAACAACUGAAGGAACUGCCAAAGAAGUUUCCUUCGUUAUGUUUGUACAACUUUUGUCACAGUGUACUGUUUAUAUUAAAAUCAUAAUAUGUAUAAACUUCAAUUGUUUAAGUUUGGGUUAUUUGGGGUGAGCUACCUUAUUGUUGGUCUACUGGGCGUUCAACUAGACCCUUCUUGAGAAUACAAUUAUAAUAAGAUCUAUGAAAUUGCCUAGGGUUCUUAGAAAUCUGAAGUUGGAGAAUGUAUUUUGGAGAUGAAGUGUUGACCAAUUGGAGUAUCAUAUUAGCGGUGACUGCUUGUACUAAACGAUGUUGCUUUCUUAAAUCAUCUGAGUCUUUUGUUAAAAUCAAC
Long non-coding RNA from Mangifera indica (mango), 646 nucleotides. RefSeq lists it as uncharacterized. The record is from RefSeq and is a predicted model, not a curated record. NCBI's taxonomy places the organism in Eukaryota, Viridiplantae, Streptophyta, Magnoliopsida, Sapindales, Anacardiaceae. The transcript is spliced from 2 exons.